RNAcentral lists this long non-coding RNA (201 nucleotides) under Brachypodium distachyon (stiff brome). RNAcentral's name for it is "long non-coding RNA (BDIS_LNC005573)". The record is from RNAcentral. Lineage: Eukaryota; Viridiplantae; Streptophyta; Magnoliopsida; Poales; Poaceae.
GGCGUUGUUGGCGGGGUUCUGGCGUCUCGGAGGCAUCUGUUUAGGGUAGCAUAGAUGAGGAAACAGAUAGAAUAGAACUAAGGAUGUCUAAGCCCCCAAAACAUGAUAUUGACUCAAGCAUAUAUCAAUCAUACACUCAAUCAAUCAUAAAAAGAUUUUGGAAAUUACAGCAAAACACACUUGUUCAUGAUGGGGUACUGC